RNAcentral lists this transfer RNA (74 nucleotides) under Streptomyces sp. CB01635. Its description in RNAcentral is "tRNA-Val". It matches the Rfam family "tRNA". From Rfam's summary of the family: Transfer RNA (tRNA) molecules are approximately 80 nucleotides in length. Their secondary structure includes four short double-helical elements and three loops (D, anti-codon, and T loops). The record is from RNAcentral. Lineage: Bacteria; Bacillati; Actinomycetota; Actinomycetes; Kitasatosporales; Streptomycetaceae.
GGGCUCUUCCGUUUCGGGUCACGGCUGCCCUUACAAGGCAGAUGUCGGCGGUUCGAAACCGUCCGCGCCCACCA